CCUACGGGAGGCUGCAGUGGGGAAUAUUGCACAAUGGGCGAAAGCCUGAUGCAGCGACGCCGCGUGAGCGAAGAAGUAUUUCGGUAUGUAAAGCUCUAUCAGCAGGGAAGAAAAUGACGGUACCUGACUAAGAAGCCCCGGCUAACUACGUGCCAGCAGCCGCGGUAAUACGUAGGGGGCAAGCGUUAUCCGGAUUUACUGGGUGUAAAGGGAGCGUAGGCGGCAAGGCAAGUCUGAUGUGAAAACCCGGGGCUCAACCCCGGGACUGCAUUGGAAACUGCUUAGCUAGAGUGUCGGAGAGGUAAGUGGAAUUCCUAGUGUAGCGGUGAAAUGCGUAGAUAUUAGGAGGAACACCAGUGGCGAAGGCGACUUACUGGACGAUAACUGACGCUGAGGCUCGAAAGCGUGGGGAGCAAACAGGCUUAGAUACCCCGGUAGUC
This 440-nucleotide ribosomal RNA is filed under the name uncultured Lachnospiraceae bacterium. Its description in RNAcentral is "bacterial SSU rRNA". It matches the Rfam family "Bacterial small subunit ribosomal RNA", at positions 338 to 795 of the family's 1533-position model. The record is from RNAcentral. Lineage: Bacteria; Bacillati; Bacillota; Clostridia; Lachnospirales; Lachnospiraceae.